This 112-nucleotide ribosomal RNA is filed under the name Acanthosepion pharaonis. The record is from RNAcentral. Lineage: Eukaryota; Metazoa; Mollusca; Cephalopoda; Sepiida; Sepiidae.
CAGUCAAAUCACACUGAAACACUGGUUCUCGUGACGAUCACCGAAGUUAAGCAGCGUAGAGCCAGGUCAGUACUUAGAUGGGGGACCGCUUGGGAACACCUGGUACUGUAAG